This 406-nucleotide ribosomal RNA is filed under the name uncultured bacterium. RNAcentral's name for it is "bacterial SSU rRNA". It matches the Rfam family "Bacterial small subunit ribosomal RNA", at positions 28 to 431 of the family's 1533-position model. The record is from RNAcentral.
GACGAACGCUGGCGGCGUGCCUAACACAUGCAAGUGGAGCGACGAACCAGGCUUCGGCCUGGGGCAGAGCCGCGAACGGGUGAGUAACACGUGGGUAACCUGCCCUGAUGAUUGGGACAACCCGAGGAAACUCGGGCUAAUACCAAAUGUGCCCUCCGACCAUAAGGUCGCUGGGGAAAGGAAGCUUCGGCCUCCGCAUCGGGAUGGGCCCGCGGCCCAUUAGCUUGUUGGUGAGGAAUGGCUCACCAAGGCAACGAUGGGUAGCUGGUCUGAGAGGACGAUCAGCCACACUGGGACUGAGACACGGCCCAGACUCCUACGGGAGGCAGCAGUGGGAAUCUUGCGCAAUGCGCGAAAGCGUGACGCAGCAACGCCGCGUGGGGGAAGAAGGCCUCGGUUGUAACCC